CGAACGCUGGCGGCAUGGCUAAAACAUACAAGUCGAACGCGAAAGGAGGCUUCGGCCUCUGAGUAGAGUGGCGAAAGGGCGAGGAAUACGUUCCUAACGUGCCCCAAGGUCAGGGAUAGCCCAGGGAAACCUGGAUUAAUACCUGAUGACCCUGCAACGUCGUAUGGCGAUGCAGGCAAAAAUUUAUUGCCUUGGGAUCGGGGAACGUGCUAUCAGCUUGUUGGUGAGGUAACGGCUCACCAAGGCGAAGACGGCUAGCGGGUGUGAGAGCACGACCCGCCGCAUCGGGACUGAGACACUGCCCGGACUCCUACGGGAGGCUGCAGUAACGAAUAUUCCGCAAUGCGCGAAAGCGUGACGGAGCAAUGCCGCGUGCAGGAUGAAGCCCCUCGGGGUGUAAACUGCUGUCAGGGUUCAGGAACACAAUGACCAGACCCAAAGGAAGGGCCGGCUAACUUCGUGCCAGCAGCCGCGGUAAUACGAAGGGCCCGAGCGUUGCGCGGAAUUAUUGGGCUUAAAGGGUGCGUAGGCGGACCCGCAAGUGCCUUGUGAAAGCCCUCGGCUCAACCGAGGAAUUGCUUGGUAGACUGCAGGUCUUGAGCUCGGCAGGGGCGGUCGGAACUCUAGGUGGAGCGGUGAAAUGCGUAGAUAUCUAGAGGAACGCCAAAGGUGAAGACAGACCGCUGGGCCGAUGCUGACGCUGAGGCACGAAAGCGUGGGUAGCGAACGGGAUUAGAUACCCCGGUAGUCCACGCCCUAAACGAUGUGCACUAGAUGCCGGAGUUUUGACAACAUCGGCGUCGAAGCAAAAGUGAUUAGUGCACCGCCUGGGGAGUACGGUCGCAAGGCUAAAACUCAAAGGAAUUGACGGGGGCUCACACAAGCGGUGGAGCAUGUGGCUUAAUUCGAGUCAACGCGAAGAACCUUAUCCUGGGUUUGACAUGUACGGAUUAACUCCGAGAAACCGGAGCCACACCUUUAUUGGUGGAACGUACACAGGUGCUGCAUGGCUGUCGUCAGCUCGUGCUGUGAAGUGUCGGGUUAAGUCCCUUAACGAGCGAAACCCCUGUCGUUAGUUGCUACCAGGUAAUGCUGAGGACUCUAGCGAGACUGCCGGUGUCAAACCGGAGGAAGGUGGGGAUGACGUCAAGUCCUCAUGGCCUUUAUGCCCAGGGCUGCGCACGUGCUACAAUGGCAACUACAAAGCGAAGCAAUGUCGCAAGGCGGAGCAAAUCGCACAAAAGUUGCCCCAGUUCGGAUUGUGGUCUGCAACUCGAGCCACAUGAAGUUGGAAUCGCUAGUAAUCGCGUAUCAGCUACGACGCGGUGAAUACGUUCCUGAGCCUUGUACACACCGCCCGUCACGUCAUGGAAGCCGGGAGUACCCGAAGCCGCCUCAACUCAGAGGUGUCGACGGUAAGCUCGGUGACUGGGACGAAGUCGUAACAAGGUAAC
Molecule: ribosomal RNA, 1454 nt
Filed under: uncultured bacterium
Lineage: Bacteria
Description: 16S ribosomal RNA
Rfam family: Bacterial small subunit ribosomal RNA
Source: RNAcentral